AAAGUUUUAAGUUAAGUUAAUAAACUUUUAACCUUCAAAGUUAAAUAUAUAAAUUAUUAUAAACUUUA
Molecule: transfer RNA, 68 nt
Filed under: Phaenacantha marcida
Lineage: Eukaryota; Metazoa; Arthropoda; Insecta; Hemiptera; Colobathristidae
Description: tRNA-Trp
Source: RNAcentral